UCUCCGUAGGUGAACCUGCGGAGGGAUCAUUAAUAGAGAUGGUGGGCCCCCGGGCCCCCGUCCCCGACCCUUUGUCGACCAAACCACUUUUACCUCGGGGGCAGAGCGUCCUCCGCCGCCCCCGGUGGACCAUUCAACCCUGUCUCUGUAUGUCGGAGUCUUUGAUAAAUAAAUGAAAACUUUUAACAACGGAUCUCUUGGUUCUGGCAUCGAUGAAGAACGCAGC
Molecule: unclassified non-coding RNA, 226 nt
Filed under: uncultured fungus
Lineage: Eukaryota; Fungi
Description: sequence contains ITS1, 5.8S rRNA gene
Rfam family: 5.8S ribosomal RNA (bases 178-226)
Source: RNAcentral